GGGGAUGAUGGGUUUCGAUAAGGGAAUCGGUCGUUUUGCGUCGGGCCGGGAUUGGUAAAUCCCGCCAAAAUUACCAAACCAACAACUGCCAACCAAAAGUUUGCAGUUCCUUUCCGCGUUCCGGCUUUUGCCUAAGUACGCGCUUUAAGGACAUCGCCUUGGCCUAUUGCCCUUCCCGGGGCCAAUCGGCGGUGUAAUAAACGAAGGGAUAGCCUUUUCUAGGUCAUUGGUUCCUCCCGGAAAUAGGUGAAAAUGAAGAACUUUUUUCUGGCGCAAGCCAGUACGCCUCGUAUAAGCGCGAAUCGUCCAGUCCUUUAGACGAGGGUUCAACUCCCUCCAUCUCCACAC
RNAcentral lists this transfer-messenger RNA (348 nucleotides) under bacterium. It matches the Rfam family "transfer-messenger RNA". From Rfam's summary of the family: Bacterial tmRNA, also known as 10Sa RNA or SsrA, is named for its dual tRNA and mRNA-like properties. Its role is to liberate the mRNA from a stalled ribosome. RNAcentral also lists the same sequence under 1 other name. The record is from RNAcentral.